This 292-nucleotide ribosomal RNA is filed under the name uncultured bacterium. RNAcentral describes it as "partial 16S ribosomal RNA". It matches the Rfam family "Bacterial small subunit ribosomal RNA", at positions 505 to 796 of the family's 1533-position model. The record is from RNAcentral.
GUGCCAGCCGCCGCGGUAAUACAGAGGGGGCAAGCGUUGUCCGGACUGACUGGGCGUAAAGCGCACGCAGGCGGUCGCGGGCGUCGGUGCUGAAAGGCCACCGCUUAACGGUGGUAGGCGUGCCGAUACGCCGCGACUGGAGCCAUGUAGAGGUCCGUGGAAUUGCCGGUGUAGUGGUGAUAUGCGUAGAUAUCGGCAGGAACACCCAAGGGGAAGCCAACGGACUGGGCAUGGGCUGACGCUCAUGUGCGACAGCGUGGGGAGCAAACUGGAUUAGAUACCCGUGUAGUCC